This 111-nucleotide ribosomal RNA is filed under the name Periophthalmus magnuspinnatus. Lineage: Eukaryota; Metazoa; Chordata; Actinopteri; Gobiiformes; Gobiidae. The record is from RNAcentral.
GCAAGAGACCAUUUCUACUUUAAAAGAUGAUGACUGGUUUAAAUGUGAAUUCAACCAGGGUUGAGCCUGGUUAACUUGGAUGGGAGACCACUGGGAAUACUAGGUGCCGUU